AGAGUGUUUUCAUUAAUCAAGAACGAAAGUCAGAGGUUCGAAGGCGAUUAGAUACCGCCCUAGUUCUGACCGUAAACGAUGCCAACUAUCAAUCCGCCAGUGGCUUUCAGUUAUUGGCGGGCGGAUCGACGGAAACGAAAGUUUUUCGGUUCCGGGGGAAGUAUGGUUGCAAAGCUGAAACUUAAAGGAAUUGACGGAAGGGCACCACCAGGAGUGGAGCUUGCGGCUUAAUUUGACUCAACACGGGAAACCUCACCCGGCCAGUACAUCAUAAGGAUUGACAGAUUGAAAGCUCUUUCAUGAUUUGAUGAAUGGUGGUGCAUGGCCGUUCUUAGUUCGUGGCGUGAGUCGUCUGCUUAAUUGCGAUAACGAGCGAGACUUCGACUGCUAAAUACUGCCGCGAUCUCUUCGAGUUGCGCGCAGUUCUUAGCUGGAUUUGUGACUUAAAGUCUCAAGAAAAGAAGCAAUAACAGGUCUGUGAUGCCCUUAGAUGUUCGGGGCCGCACGCGUGCUACAAUGGUGGUAACAGCGUGAUUGUCCUCGCCCGACAGGGCUUGGCAAACAGUUGAGAUAUUAUUAUGGCUGGAAUUGAGUGUUGAAAUUUUCUCUCAUGAACGAGGAAUUCCAAGUAAAUGCGCGUCAUCAACGUGCAUUGAUUACGUCCCUGCCCUUUGUACACACCGCCCGUCGCUACCCGGGACUGAGUUGUUUCGAGAAAUCUACGGACGCGACCAGCAA
RNAcentral lists this ribosomal RNA (738 nucleotides) under Aphelenchoides sp. G024. RNAcentral describes it as "bacterial SSU rRNA". It matches the Rfam family "Eukaryotic small subunit ribosomal RNA", at positions 961 to 1726 of the family's 1831-position model. The record is from RNAcentral. Lineage: Eukaryota; Metazoa; Nematoda; Chromadorea; Rhabditida; Aphelenchoididae.